GUGAGGAAUAAGCUUGCGAAAGCGGGUCUAAUACCGCAUAACGUCCCGGGACGAAUGUCCCGUGACCAAAGCCGUAAGGCGCUUGGGGAUGAGCCUGCGUCCUAUUAGCUAGUUGGUAGGGUAACGGCCUACCAAGGCGAUGAUGGGUAGCCGGCCUGAGAGGGUGAUCGGCCACACUGGAACUGAGACACGGUCCAGACUCCUACGGGAGGCAGCAGUGAGGAAUUUUGCGCAAUGGGCGAAAGCCUGACGCAGCGACGCCGCGUGGAGGAAGACGGCCUUCGGGUUGUAAACUCCUGUCAGAGGUGAAGAAUGCCCGCAAGGGCUUGACGGUAACCUCAGAGGAAGCCCCGGCUAACUACGUG
This 365-nucleotide ribosomal RNA is filed under the name uncultured bacterium. Its description in RNAcentral is "bacterial SSU rRNA". It matches the Rfam family "Bacterial small subunit ribosomal RNA", at positions 136 to 507 of the family's 1533-position model. The record is from RNAcentral.